This 692-nucleotide ribosomal RNA is filed under the name uncultured bacterium. Its description in RNAcentral is "bacterial SSU rRNA". It matches the Rfam family "Bacterial small subunit ribosomal RNA", at positions 32 to 715 of the family's 1533-position model. The record is from RNAcentral.
AACGCUAGCUACAGGCUUAACACAUGCAAGUCGAGGGGCAGCACGGGAGUAGCAAUACAACUGGUGGCGACCGGCGCACGGGUGAGUAACGCGUAUCCAACCUGCCCACCACUUGGGGAUAACCUUGCGAAAGUAAGACUAAUACCCAAUGACGUCUCUAGAAGACAUCUGAAAGGGAUUAAAGAUUUAUCGGUGAUGGAUGGGGAUGCGUCUGAUUAGCUUGUUGGCGGGGUAACGGCCCACCAAGGCUACGAUCAGUAGGGGUUCUGAGAGGAAGGUCCCCCACAUUGGAACUGAGACACGGUCCAAACUCCUACGGGAGGCAGCAGUGAGGAAUAUUGGUCAAUGGACGAGAGUCUGAACCAGCCAAGUAGCGUGCAGGAUGACGGCCCUAUGGGUUGUAAACUGCUUUUAUAAGGGAAUAAAGUGAGUCUCGUGAGACUUUUUGCAUGUACCUUAUGAAUAAGGACCGGCUAAUUCCGUGCCAGCAGCCGCGGUAAUACGGAAGGUCCGGGCGUUAUCCGGAUUUAUUGGGUUUAAAGGGAGCGUAGGCCGGAGAUUAAGCGUGUUGUGAAAUGUAGACGCUCAACGUCUGCACUGCAGCGCGAACUGGUUUCCUUGAGUACGCACAAAGUGGGCGGAAUUCGUGGUGUAGCGGUGAAAUGCUUAGAUAUCACGAAGAACUCCGAUUG